This 383-nucleotide ribosomal RNA is filed under the name uncultured eukaryote. RNAcentral describes it as "partial 18S ribosomal RNA". It matches the Rfam family "Eukaryotic small subunit ribosomal RNA", at positions 592 to 976 of the family's 1831-position model. The record is from RNAcentral.
CAAUAGCGUAUAUUAAAGUUGUUGCAGUUAAAAAGCUCGUAGUUGGAUUUCUGGUGGGAGCGAUCGGUCUGGCGCUUAGCGCGAGUACUUGCAUCGUCUCCGGCCAUCCUUGGGGAGAGUCUGUCUGGCAUUAGGUUGUCGGGCAGAGGAUCCUCAUCGUUUACUGUGAAAAAAUUAGAGUGUUCAAAGCAGGCUUAUGCCGUUGAAUAUAUUAGCAUGGAAUAAUAAGAUAGGACUUUGGUACUAUUUUGUUGGUUUGCGCACCAAAGUAAUGAUUAAUAGGGACAGUUGGGGGUAUUCGUAUCCCGUUGUCAGAGGUGAAAUUCUUGGAUUUACGGAAGACGAACUACUGCGAAAGCAUUUACCAAGGAUGUUUNCAUUAA